This 1152-nucleotide long non-coding RNA is filed under the name Carica papaya (papaya). RNAcentral describes it as "long non-coding RNA (CPAP_LNC016602)". Lineage: Eukaryota; Viridiplantae; Streptophyta; Magnoliopsida; Brassicales; Caricaceae. The record is from RNAcentral.
CUUCAUCUGCCAAGAGCUUUAGAGAGAGAGGGAGACGAGAAGAAGAAGAAAAGGCAUAGAAACAUCGAGGUUUUGGUAAGGAAUUCAGUAUUUACUUUUAAACAUCCUAAGGAGCAUUUCCAGAGUAAAAUUAAUAAGGUUUAAAUUAGUGAUUUCAUGGUUAGUUUUAUGCCUAAACUAAGUAAUUUCACAUGUUAAUACAUGUUCUAUGAUCGUGCAUGAACUUGUUAAUUUGCAUGUGUAAUUUAGAUGAAGUAAAUAUUGAUAUGUGAUGCAAUAUGGUAGAAAAAUUAUUAAGCAUGAAACGAUGUACAAACAUGAGAAACAUGUAUUAAUAUUGGCAUGCAUAAUGUAUAAAGCAUUUCGUUAGUCUUUUUAUCUCUGAGGGAUUUCUAUUUCUCCCCCAUCUGGUCUGAAAAGACGUGAGAGGAUCGCUCCCUGUGGAUGACGGCAUACCCUCUGAUGAGAGUGGUGAUGCGUAAUGAUUGUAGGGGUCAUCUUAAGCAAAGUAUGGUCGUGGCCAUAGUUAACAUGUAGGACCACUGUGGUUUGUACGACUGUGGUCAUAGAUCGUGUCAUGGUUUGGCAAGCUGUAAAUUUGAUAUUGGUUUAGCAAGCCGUAAAUGUGUUGUUAGUUUAAGAAGACACAAAUUGCUGUUACAAAUUAAAUGAAUUUUUCAUUCCACAUGGGUAGCCGGGAAUCUGUAUCACCCUCAAAAGAUGGAAGUCGGAAUGACUUCACAAAAAAUGACACAAAAAUAGUGCAUAUCAUGAUUUAUUUGAUUUUCUCUAUUUUUAGCAUGAUAUACUUGAUUGAUAUGAUAUGACUAUGGUAUGAUAUUUUCUUUAAAUAAAAUAAAUUACUUUCAUAGUUUAAUAAAGAACCCUGACAUGACUCUUGAUGGUAAGAAAUGAUGAUAUCUUUAAUUACCUUUAAAAUCUUAUGAUGUUAUUUAAAUAUUGUUUUCCUUACUGAGUAUAUAGAACUCACUCCUUUCCAUGCCCCCCCUCUAGAUGGGAAAGAUAAUGAGGAAUUGAUCGCUGACCUACCACUUGAAGUCUUUGAGGAUCCCGUGGAUCCUUAAACUUUUAUAAAUGCAUGACUUGUCUCGCACUCUGAUGAGUCCUUUUACAUAAUUAUAGAAGUUCCCC